This is a long non-coding RNA of Fukomys damarensis (Damara mole-rat), 221 nucleotides long. RefSeq lists it as uncharacterized. The transcript has 3 exons. The record is from RefSeq and is a predicted model, not a curated record. NCBI's taxonomy places the organism in Eukaryota, Metazoa, Chordata, Mammalia, Rodentia, Bathyergidae.
UUGUGCACCUUGAUGCAAAUUAUAAUUCAAGGUACAAGAUUUUUGGUCAUCACAGUUGUGCACCUUGAUGCAAAUUAUAAUUCAAGGUACAAGGUUUUGGUUAUUACAGUUGUGCACCUUGAUGCAAACUAUAAUUCAAGGUACAACGUUUUUGGUCAUCACAGUUGUGCACCUUGAUGCAAACUAUGAUUCAAGGUACAAGGUUUUGGUCAUUACAGUUG